GAUCUCAAAUGAAGCAAGAGAACCCGCUGAACUUAAGCAUAUUAUUAAGCGGAGGAAAAGAAACUAACAAGGAUGCCCUCAGUAACGGCGAGUGAAGCGGGCAAAGCUCAACCUGAAAAUCUGGUUCCUUAGCGGGAACUCGAAUUGUGGGCUAGCAGGCGUGUGAUCAGUGUGUGACCCAGGUAUAAGUCUUUUGAAACAAGGUAUCAGAGAGGGUGAGAAUCCCGUCUUUGACCUGGAGUAUUCGCCGCGUACGAUCCACGUUCGUAGAGUCGAGUUGUUUGGGAUUGCAGCUCUAAAUGGGUGGUAAGUUUCAUCUAAAGCUAAAUAUCGACGAGAGACCGAUAGCGAACAAGUACCGUGAGGGAAAGAUGAAAAGAACUUUGAAAAGAGAGUUAAAAAGUACUUGAAAUUGCUAAGAGGGAAGCACUGGAAACCAG
RNAcentral lists this ribosomal RNA (440 nucleotides) under uncultured fungus. RNAcentral's name for it is "eukaryotic LSU rRNA". It matches the Rfam family "Eukaryotic large subunit ribosomal RNA", at positions 1 to 432 of the family's 3401-position model. The record is from RNAcentral. Lineage: Eukaryota; Fungi.